This is a long non-coding RNA of Trichoplusia ni (cabbage looper), 520 nucleotides long. RefSeq lists it as uncharacterized. Lineage: Eukaryota; Metazoa; Arthropoda; Insecta; Lepidoptera; Noctuidae. The transcript has 3 exons. The record is from RefSeq and is a predicted model, not a curated record.
AACAUUUUAAAGUUUGUAUGUAUCAAAGACUAUAAAACCUCUUGACGGCGCAUCCAGUGCUUUGACGUUCGAAAACUAUUAGUAUUUUGUCGCCUAUAUAAGCUAUCUGUAUGAGUGACCAUUUUAGUUUGUGUCCAAGUGUUAGACCUGUGCGCACGCUAAAUUAUCGUAAAUUGUUAAAAUUAUUUUGCAAUUAAAACGCAUUAAAAUGCCUUCUUGUGCGGUGAAGUGGUGUGGGAAACAUUCCAAGACAUCGAGUUACAAAAAGGAUGGUAUAACUUUUCACCGGUUUCCGAAGAUUCCGGAACUAAAAGAAAAGUGGAUGAAUAAAAUUAAUAGGGAAAAUUGGUUCCCAACGAAAUACAGUGCUGUCUGUUCAAGGCACUUCACACCUGAUUGUUUUGAGUAUUUAAAACAACGUCGCCGUUUAUUUAGUUCAGCAAUACCAACAAUGUUUCUACCAAUUUUGGCUUCACCUUAUAGUUUGACUGAGUCUAAUACUAACGUACCUGGGCCUGCA